Molecule: transfer RNA, 66 nt
Filed under: Dipodomys ordii (Ord's kangaroo rat)
Lineage: Eukaryota; Metazoa; Chordata; Mammalia; Rodentia; Heteromyidae
Rfam family: tRNA
About the family: Transfer RNA (tRNA) molecules are approximately 80 nucleotides in length.
Source: Rfam by way of RNAcentral
CUGUGGAUGGCUUAGUGGUAGAGUGCUUGCCUACCAUGCAAGAAGCCUUGAGUUCGAUUCCACAGU